This 1432-nucleotide ribosomal RNA is filed under the name Leptolyngbya sp. PL-A2. RNAcentral describes it as "bacterial SSU rRNA". It matches the Rfam family "Bacterial small subunit ribosomal RNA". The record is from RNAcentral. Lineage: Bacteria; Bacillati; Cyanobacteriota; Cyanophyceae; Leptolyngbyales; Leptolyngbyaceae.
UCAACUGAAGAGUUUGAUCCUGGCUCAGAUUGAACGCUGGCGGCAUGGCUAAAGCAUGCAAGUCGAACGAGAACCGGCUUCGGCCGGGGACAGUGGCGGAAGGGCGAGGAAUACGAUCGAACGUGCCCCGAGGUGGGGGAUAGCCGCGGGAAACUGCGGGUAAUACCCCAUGUGCUCUUCGGAGGAAAGGUUUACCGCCUUGGGAGCGGCGAUCGUCCUAUCAGGUAGUUGGCGGGGUAACGGCCCACCAAGCCGAAGACGGGUAGCGGGUGUGAGAGCACGACCCGCCGCAUCGGGACUGAGACACUGCCCGGACUCCUACGGGAGGCUGCAGCGACGAAUCUUCCGCAAUGGGCGCAAGCCUGACGGAGCAAUGCCGCGUGCGGGAUGAAGCGGCUUCGCCGUGUAAACCGCUGUCAGGUCCCAGGAACACUGACCGGGACCAGAGGAAGGGCCGGCUAACCUCGUGCCAGCAGCCGCGGUAAUACGAGGGGCCCGAGCGUUAAUCGGAAUCACUGGGCUUAAAGGGUGCGCAGGCUGGCCCGAAAGCGUCUUGUGAAAGCCCCCGGCUCAACCGGGGAACAGCGGGGCGAACUUCGGGUCUUGAGGCAGGUAGGGGCGGAUGGAACUGUCGGUGGAGCGGUGGAAUGCGUAGAUAUCGACAGGAACGCCGAUGGCGAAGGCAGUCCGCUGGGCCUGUCCUGACGCUCAGGCACGAAAGCGUGGGGAGCAAACAGGAUUAGAUACCCUGGUAGUCCACGCCGUAAACGAUGCACUACGGUCGCAAGGCUAAAACUCAAAGGAAUUGACGGGGGCUCACACAAGCGGUGGAGCAUGUUGCUUAAUUCGAGGCAACGCGAAGAACCUUACCUGGGCUUGACAUGCACGGAUUAACUCCCUGAAAGGGGAGCCACGCCCGCAAGGGUGGAACGUGCACAGGUGUUGCAUGGCUGUCGUCAGCUCGUGCUGUGAAGUGUCGGGUUAAGUCCCUUAACGAGCGCAACCCCUGUCGCUAGUUGCUAACGGGUAAUGCCGAGGACUCUAGCGAGACUGCCGGUGUCAAACCGGAGGAAGGUGGGGAUGACGUCAAGUCCUCAUGGCCCUUAUGUCCAGGGAUGCUAACGUGCUACAAUGGCGCGUACAGAGCGAAGCGAGGCCGCGAGGCGGAGCAAAUCGCAAAAAGCGCGCCCCAGUUCGGAUUGCAGGCUGCAACUCGCCUGCAUGAAGCCGGAAUCGCUAGUAAUCGGAGAUCAGCUACGCUCCGGUGAAUACGUUCCUGAGCCUUGUACACACCGCCCGUCACGUCAUGGAAGCCGGGAGCGCCCGAAGUCGCCGCAUCUCAGCGGCGCCCACGGCAAGCUCGGUGACUGGGACGAAGUCGUAACAAGGUAGCCGUAGGAGAACCUGCGGCUGGAUCACCUCCUUUCUAAGG